UACAGAGGGUGCGAGCGUUGUUCGGAAUUACUGGGCGUAAAGGGUUCGUAGGUGGCCACUUAAGUCAGACGUGAAAUCCCUCAGCUUAACUGGGGAACUGCGUCUGAUACUGAGUGGCUUGAGUGCAGGAGAGGAAUGCGGAAUUCCAGGUGUAGCGGUGAAAUGCGUAGAUAUCUGGAGGAACACCGGUGGCGAAGGCGGCAUUCUGGACUGUAACUGACACUGAGGAACGAAAGCCAGGGGAGCAAACGGG
Molecule: ribosomal RNA, 253 nt
Filed under: uncultured bacterium
Lineage: Bacteria
Description: partial 16S ribosomal RNA
Rfam family: Bacterial small subunit ribosomal RNA
Source: RNAcentral